CCUACGGGAGGCUGCAGUGAGGAAUAUUGGUCAAUGGGCGCUAGCCUGAACCAGCCAAGUCGCGUGAAGGAUGACUGCCCUAUGGGUUGUAAACUUCUUUUGUCGGGGAGUAAAGUGCAGUAUGUAUACUUCUUUGCAUGUACCUUAUGAAUAAGGAUCGGCUAACUCCGUGCCAGCAGCCGCGGUAAUACGGAGGAUCCGAGCGUUAUCCGGAUUUAUUGGGUUUAAAGGGUGCGUAGGCGGGUUGUUAAGUCAGUUGUGAAAGUUUGCGGCUCAACCGCAAAAUUGCCGUUGAUACUGGAACCCUUGAGUACAGUAGAGGUAGGCGGAAUUCGUGGUGUAGCGGUGAAAUGCUUAGAUAUCACGAAGAACUCCGAUUGCGAAGGCAGCCUGCUGGAGCGCAACUGACGCUGAUGCUCGAAAGUGUGGGUAUCAAACAGGAUUAGAUACCCGUGUAGUC
Molecule: ribosomal RNA, 460 nt
Filed under: uncultured bacterium
Lineage: Bacteria
Description: partial 16S ribosomal RNA
Rfam family: Bacterial small subunit ribosomal RNA
Source: RNAcentral